UUCAAUCUCGUUACCGGCAAGUCUCUUUACUCGUUCCGCAACACAUCAUCCCAUGAUCAACCCCUUGGUCACAUUGUGCACAUUAUGAUGAUGUCCUACCGAGUGGGCCCAGAGAUACCUCUCCGUUUACACGGAGUGACAAAUCCCAGUCUCGAUCCGUGUCAACCCAAAAGACACUUUCGGAGAUACCUGUAAUGCACCUUUAUAGUCACCUAGUUACGUUGUGACGUUUGAUACACCCAAAGCACUCCUACGGUAUCCGGGAGUUACACGAUCUCAUGGUCUAAGGAAGAGAUACUUGACAUUAGAAAAGCUCUAGCAAACGAACUACACGAUCUUUGUGCUAUGCUUAGGAUUGGGUCUUGUCCAUCACAUCAUUCUCCUAAUGAUGUGAUCCCGUUAUCAACGACAUCCAAUGUCCAUAGCCAGGAAACCAUGACUAUCUGUUGAUCACAACGAGCUAGUCAACUAGAGGCUUACUAGGGACAUAUUGUGGUCUAUGUAUUCACACGUGUAUUAUGAUUUCCGGAUAAUACAGUUAUAGCAUGAAUAAAAGACAAUUAUCAUGAACAAGGAAAUAUAAUAAUACUUUUAUUAUUGCCUCUAGGGCAUAUUUCCAACAGUCUCCCACUUGCACUAGAGUCAAUAAUCUAGUUCACAUCACCAUGUGAUUAACACUCACAGGUCACAUCGCCAUGUGACCAACAUCAUCAAAUGAGUUCUAGGGUUUGAUCAUGUUUUGCUUGUGAGAGAGGUUGUAGUCAACGGGUCUGAACCUUUCAGAUCCGUGUGUGCUUUGCAAAUUUCUAGGUCAUAUUGUAAACGCUGCUUCCACGCUCCACUUGGAGCUAUUGCAAAUUGUUGCUCCACUAUACGUAUCCGGUUUGCUACUCAGAGUCACUCGGAUAGGUGUUAAAGCUUGCAUCGACGUAACCCUUUACGCCGAACUCUUUAUCACCUCCAUAAUUGAGAAACAUGUCCUUAUUUACUCCAAGGAUAAUUUUGACCGCUGUCCAAUGAUCCAUUCCUGGAUCAUUCUUGUACCCCUUGACUGACUCAUGGCAAGGCACACUUCCGGUGCGGUACACAGCAUAGCAUACUAUAGAGCCUACGUCUGAAGCAUAGGGGACGACCUUCGUCCUUUCUCUCUUUUCUGCCGUGGUCGAGCUUUAAGUCUUAACUUCACACCUUACAACUCAGGCAAGAACUCCUUCUUUGACUGAUCCAUCUUGAACACCUUCAAGAUCAUGUCAAGGUAUGUGCUCAUUUUGAAAGUACCAUUAAGCGUUUUUGAUCUAUCCUCAUAGAUCUUGAUGCUCAAUGUUCAAGUAGCUUAAUCCAGGUUAUCCAUUGAAAAACAUUUUUCAAAUAACCCCAUACGCUUUCCAGAAAUUCUACAUCAUUUCUGAUCAACAAUAUGUCAACAACAUAUACUCGUCAGAAAUUCUAUAGUGCUCCCACUCACUUCUUUGGAAAUACAAGUUUCUCAUAAACUUUGUAUAAACAAAAAAUCUCUGAUCAUCUUAUCAAAGUGCAUAUUCCAACUCCGAGAUGCUUACUCCAGCCCUUAGAAGGAUCACUGGAGCCAGCAUACCUUUUAGCAUCCUUAGGAUUGACAAAAAACUUUCGGAUUGUAUCACAUACAACCUUUCCUUACGAAGAAUGGUAACGAAACUCGUUUUGACAUCCAUCUGCCAGAUUUCAUAAAUGCAGCUGAUGCUAACAUGAUUCCGACGGACUUAAGCAUUGCUACGGAUGAGAAAAUCUCAUCGUAGUUAACUCCUUGAACUUGUGAAAAACUCUUCGCCACAAGUCGAGCUUCAUAGACGGUGACAUCACCGUCCACGUCCGUCUUCUUCUUAAAGAUCCAUUUAUCUCAAUGGCUUGCCAAUCAUCGGGCAAGUCCACCAAAGUCCAUGCUUUGUUACGAUACAUGGAUCCUAUCUCGGAUUUCAUGGCUUCUAACCAUUUGUUGGAAUUUGGGACCACCAUUGCUUCUCCAUAGCUCGUAGGUUCAUUGUUGUCUAGCAACAUGACCUUCAAGACAAGAUUAAUGUACAACUCUGAAGUAGUACGCAUCCUUGUCACCCUACGAGGUACGGUAGUGACUUGAUCCGAAGUUUCAUGAUCACUAUCAUAAGCUUCUACUUCAAUUGGUGUAGGUGCCACAGGAACAACUUCCUGUGCCUUGCUACACACUGGUUGAAGUGAUGGUUUAAUAACCUCAUUAAGUCUCCACCAUCCUCCCACUCAACUUUUCGAGACAAACUUUUCCUCGAGAAAGGACCCGAUUCAAGAAACAAUCCCUAUUGCUUUCGGAUCUGAAUUAGGAGGUAUACCCAACUGUUUUAGGUGUCCUAUGAAGAUGCAUUUUAUCCGCUUUGGGUUCAAGCUUAUCAACCUGAAACUUUUUCACAUAAGCAUCGCAGCCCCAAACUUUUAAGAAAUGACAGCUUAGGUUUCUCUAAACCAUAGUUCAUACAGUGUCAUCUCAACGGAAUUACGUGGUGCCCUAAUUAAAGUGAAUGUGGUUGUCUCUAAUGCCUAACCCAUGAACGAUAGUGGUAAUUCGACAAGUGACAUCAUGGUACGCACCAUAUCCAAUAGGGUGCAACUAUGAUGUUCGGACACACCAUCAAACUAUGGUGUUCCAGGCGGUAUUAAUUGUGAAAACAAUUUCCACAAUGUCUUAAUUGCGUGCCAAAGCUCGUAACUCAGAUACUCAUCUCUAUGAUCAUAUCAUAGACAUUUCAUCCUCUUGUCACGAUGAUCUUCAACUUCACUCUGAAAUUACUUGAACCAUUCAAUAAUUCAUACUUGUGUUUCAUCAAGUAAAUAUACUCUACAUCUACUCGAAUCAUCUGUGAAGUAAGAACAUAACGAUAUUCACUGCAUGCCUCAGCACUCAUUGGACUGCACACAUCAAAAUGUGUUACUUCCAACAAGUUGCUAUCUUGUUCCAUCUUACUGAAACCGAGGCUUUUCAGUCAUUUUGCCCAUGUGGUAUGAUUUGCAUAUCUCAAGUGAUUCAAAAUCAAGUGAGUCCAAACGAUCCAUCUGCAUGGAGUUUCUUCAUGCGUAUACACCAAUAGACAUGGUUCGCAUGUCUCAAACUUUUCAAAAACGAGUGAGUCCAAAGAUCCAUCAAUAUGGAGCUUCUUCAUGCGUUUUAUACCAAUAUGACUUACAUGGCAGUGCCACAAGUAAGUGGUACUAUCAUUAUUAUCUUAUAUCUUUUGGCAUGAAAAUGUGUAUCACUACGAUCGAGAUUCAAUAAACCAUUCAUUUCAGGUGCAAGACCAUUGAAGGUAUUAUUCAAAUAAACAGAGUAACCAUUAUUCUCCUUAAAUGAAUAACCGUAUUGCGAUAGACAUAAUCCAAUCAUGUCUAUGCUCAACGCAAACACCAAAUCUUGAUGGUAGAGGGAGCGUGCGAUGCUUGAUCACAUCAACCUUGGAAACACUUCCAACACAUAUCGUCAGCUCACCUUUAGCUAGUCUCCGUUUAUUCCGUAGCUUUUAUUUCGAGUUACUAACACUUAGCAACCGAACCGGUAUCUAAUACCCUGGUGCUACUAGGAGUACUAGUAAAGUACACAUUAACAUAAUGUAUAUCCAAUAUACUUCUAUCGACCUUGCCAGCCUUCUCAUCUACCAAGUAUCUAGGGUGGUUCCGCUUCAGUGCCCGUUCCUCUUAUUACAGAAGCACUUAGUCUCGGGUUUGGGUUCAACCUUGGGUUUCUUCACUAGAGCAGCAGCUGAUUUGCCGUUUCAUGAAGUAUCCCUUCUUGCCCUUGCCCUUCUUGAAACUAGUGGUUUCACCAACCAUCAACAAUUGAUGCUCCUUCUUGAUUUCUACUUUCGCGGUGUCAAACAUCGCGAAUACCUCAAGGAUCAUCAUAUCUAUCCCUGAUAUGUUAUAGUUCAUCACGAAGCUCUAGCAGCUUGGUGGCAAUGACUUUGGAGAAACAUCACUAUCUCAUCUGGAAGAUUAACUCCCACUCAAUUCAAGUGAUUGUUGCACUCAGACAAUCUGAGCACAAGCUCAACGAUUGAGCUUUUCUCCCUUAGUUUGCAGGCUAAGAAAAUCGUCGGAGGUCUCAUACCUCUUGACGUGGGCACGAGCCUGAAAUCUCAAUUUCAGCCCUCGAAACAUCUCAUAUGUUCCGCGAAGUUUCGAAAACGUCUUUGGUGCCUCAACUCUAAACCGUUUAACUGAACUAUCACGUAGUUAUCAAAACGUGUAUGUCUGAUGUUCGCAACAUCCACAAACAACGUUUAGGGUUCAGCACACUGAGCGGUGCAUUAAGGACAUAAGUUUUUUACUGUCCGCAUAAUCGCUACUGUCAACUUUCAACUAUAUUUUCUCUAGGAACAUAUCUAAACAGUGGAACUAAAGCGCGAGCUUACGACAUAAUUUGCAAAGGUCUUUUGACUAUGUUCAGGAUAAUUAAGUUCAUCUUAUGAACUCCCACUCAGAUAGUCAUCCCUCUGGUCAUCUAAGUGAUUACAUGAUCCAAGUCAACUAGGCCGUGUCCGAUCAUCACGUGAGACGGACUAGUCAUCAUCGGUGAACAUCUUCAUGUUGAUCGUAUCUACUAUACGACUCAUGCUCGACCUUUCGGUCUCCGUGUUCCGAGGCCAUGUCUGUACAUGCUAGGCUCGUCAAGUUAACCCUAAGUGUUUUCGCUGUGUAAAACUGUCUUACACCCGUUGUAUGUGAACGUAAGAAUCCAUCACACCCGAUCAUCACGUGGUGCUUAGAAGCGACGAACUGUAGCAACGGUGCACAGUUAGGGGAGAACACUUCUUGAAAUUUUGUAAGGGAUCAUCUUAUUUACUACCGUCGUCCUAAGUAAACAAGAUGCAUAAACAUGAUAAACAUCACAUGCAAUCAAAUAGUGACAUGAUAUGGCCAAUAUCAUUUUGCUCCUUUUGAUCUCCAUCUUCGGGGCUCCAUGAUCAUCAUCGUCACCGGCAUGACACCAUGAUCUCCAUCAUCAUGAUCUCCAUCAUCGUGUCUUCAUGAAGUUGUCUCGCCAACUAUUACUUCUACUACUAUGGCUACCGGUUAGCAAUAAAGUAAAGUAAUUACAUGGCGUUGUUCAAUGACACGCAGGUCAUACAAUAAAUUAAGACAACUCCUAUGGCUCCUGCCGGUUGUCAUACUCAUCGACAUGCAAGUCGUGAAUCCUAUUACAAGAACAUGAUCAAUCUCAUACAUCACAUAUCAUUCAUCACAUUCUUCUUGGCCAUAUCACAUCACAUAGCAUACCCUGCAAAAACAAGUUAGACGUCCUCUAAUUGUUGUUUGCAUGUUUUACGUGGCUGCUAUGGGUUUCUAGCAAGAACGUUUCUUACCUACGCAAAACCACAACGUGAUAUGCCAAAUUGCUAUUUACCCUUCAUAAGGACCCUUUUCAUCGAAUCCGUUCCGACUAAAGUGGGAGAGACUGGCACCCGCUAGCCACCUUAUGCACGAAGUGCAUGUCAAUCGGUGGAACCUGUCUCACGUAAGAGUACGUGUAAGGUCGGUCCGGGCCGCUUCAUCCCACAAUACCGUCGAAACAAGAUUGGACUAGUAACGGUAAGCAUAUUGAACAAAAUCAACGCCCACAACUACUUUGUGUUCUACUCGUGCAAAGAAUCUACGCAAUAGACCUAGCUCAUGAUGCCACUGUUGGGUAACGUAGCAGAAAUUCAAAAUUUUCCUACGUGUCACCAAGAUCUAUCUAUGGAGAGACCAGCAACGAGGGGAAGGAGAGUGCAUCUACAUACCCUUGUAGAUCGCUAAGCGGAAGCGUUCAAGAGAACGGGGUUGAAGGAGUCGUACUCAUCGUGAUCCAAAUCACCGGAGAUCCUAGUGCCGAACGGACGGCACCUCCGCGUUCAACACACGUACAGCCCGGUGACGUCUCCCACGCCUUGAUCCAGCAAGGAGAGAGGGAGAGGUUGAGGAAGACUCCAUCCAGCAGCAGCACAACGGCGUGGUGGUGAUGGAGGAGCGUGGUAGUCCAGCAGGGCUUCGCCAAGCACCGCAAGAUAUGAGGAGAAGGGAGAGAGGUAUGGCUGCGCCAACAGGAGGAGGAACUCAUGUGUUGAUAGCAGCCCCAAACCUCAAGUAUAUAUAGGGGAGGGGAGGGCUGUGCCACCAUCUAGGGUUCCCUCCCCAGGGGUGGCAGCAACCCCCAGAUCCCAUCUGGGUGGCGGCUAGAAGGGGAGAGGGGGGAGGCGCACCCAGGGUGGGCCUUAGGGCCCAUCUGCCCUAGGGUUUGCCCCCCUUCCCCACUUCCUGCGCCUUGGGCCCCUUGUGGGGGGCGCACCAGCCCACCUGGGGCUGGUUCCCUCCCACACAUGGCCCAUGCAGCCCUCCGGGGUAGGUGGCCCCACUUGGUGGACCCCCGGGACCCUCCCGGUGGUCCCGGUACGUUACCGAUAAAACCCGAAACUUUUCCGGUGACCAAAACAGGACUUCCCAUAUAUAAAUCUUUACCUCCGGACCAUUCCGGAACUCCUCGUGACGUCCGGGAUCUCAUCUGGGACUCCGAACAACAUUCGGUAACCACAUACAAGCUUCCUUUAUAACCCUAGCGUCAUCGAACCUUAAGUGUGUAGACCCUACGGGUUCGGGAGACAUGUAGACAUGACCGAGACGUUCUCCGGUCAAUAACCAACAGAGGGAUCUGGAUACCCAUGUUGGCUCCCACAUGUUCCACGAUGAUCUCAUCGGAUGAACCACGAUGUCAAGGACUCAGUCGAUCCCGUAUACAAUUCCCUUUGUCUAGCGGUAUUUUACUUGCCCGAGAUUCGAUCGUCGGUAUGCCGAUACCUUGUUCAAUCUCGUUACCGGCAAGUCUCUUUACUCGUUCCGCAACACAUCAUCCCGUGAUCAACCCCUUGGUCACAUUGUGCACAUUAUGAUGAUGUCCUACCGAGUGGGCCCGGAGAUACCUCUCCGCUUACACGGAGUGACAAAUCCCAGUCUCGAUCCGUGUCAACCCAAAAGACACUUUCGGAGAUACCUGUAAUGCACCUUUAUAGUCACCCAGUUACGUUGUGACGUUUGAUACACCCAAAGCACUCCUACGGUAUCCGGGAGUUACACAAUCUCAUGGUCUAAGGAAGAGAUACUUGACAUUAGAAAAGCUCUAGCAAACGAACUACACGAUCUUUGUGCUAUGCUUAGGAUUGGGUCUUGUCCAUCACAUCAUUCUCCUAAUGAUGUGAUCCCGUUAUCAACGACAUCCAAUGUCCAUAGCCAGGAAACCAUGACUAUCUGUUGAUCACAACGAGCUAGUCAACUAGAGGCUUACUAGGGACAUAUUGUGGUCUAUGUAUUCACACGUGUAUUAUGAUUUCCGGAUAAUACAGUUAUAGCAUGAAUAAAAGACAAUUAUCAUGAACAAGGAAAUAUAAUAAUACUUUUAUUAUUGCCUCUAGGGCAUAUUUCCAACA
Molecule: long non-coding RNA, 7454 nt
Filed under: Triticum aestivum (bread wheat)
Lineage: Eukaryota; Viridiplantae; Streptophyta; Magnoliopsida; Poales; Poaceae
Description: long non-coding RNA (TAES_LNC015822)
Source: RNAcentral